CUAAAAGCAAAGCGUGGGAGAAGUAGCAGAUUACAAAAUUUGUACAGAGAGUCGUUUAUGGUGAGAAGCGACAUAAAAAUUUAAAAGGAUUUGCGAAAUGGACCCACAAGCUUCAGACUGAAAGGGUAUAAAUAGUCCGAGUAAGUUUUGACGGACUUUUCCUCCGUAAAAAGGAAAAGUGUAUCGGUGUAUAGUUAAUUUAUAUUGCCCGUACUCUGCAGAGUAGGAUUUUUCUAAAUAAAAAUCCUAUUAGAGUGGCACCACGGAAAUUAACCUUUCGUCUCUUGG
RNAcentral lists this non-coding RNA (288 nucleotides) under Atribacterota. Its description in RNAcentral is "Candidatus Atribacteria T-box sequence". It matches the Rfam family "T-box leader". Rfam says of the family: Uncharged tRNA acts as the effector for transcription antitermination of genes in the T-box leader family. T-boxes are found upstream of many aminoacyl-tRNA synthetase genes and some amino acid biosynthetic genes usually in Gram-positive bacteria. The record is from RNAcentral. Lineage: Bacteria; Pseudomonadati.